This 253-nucleotide ribosomal RNA is filed under the name uncultured bacterium. Its description in RNAcentral is "partial 16S ribosomal RNA". It matches the Rfam family "Bacterial small subunit ribosomal RNA", at positions 524 to 776 of the family's 1533-position model. The record is from RNAcentral.
UACGUAGGGUGCGAGCGUUGUCCGGAAUUAUUGGGCGUAAAGGGCUCGUAGGCGGUCUGUUGCGUCGGGAGUGAAAACUCAGGGCUUAACCCUGAGCCUGCUUCCGAUACGGGCAGACUAGAGGUAUGCAGGGGAGAACGGAAUUCCUGGUGUAGCGGUGAAGUGCGCAGAUAUCAGGAGGAACACCGGUGGCGAAGGCGGUUCUCUGGGCAUUACCUGACGCUGAGGAGCGAAAGUGUGGGGAGCGAACAGG